This 460-nucleotide ribosomal RNA is filed under the name uncultured bacterium. RNAcentral describes it as "partial 16S ribosomal RNA". It matches the Rfam family "Bacterial small subunit ribosomal RNA", at positions 338 to 795 of the family's 1533-position model. The record is from RNAcentral.
CCUACGGGUGGCAGCAGUGAGGAAUAUUGGUCAAUGGGCGCAAGCCUGAACCAGCCAAGCCGCGUGAAGGAUGACGGCCCUACGGGUUGUAAACUUCUUUUGUAAAGGAAUAAAGUCAGGCACGUGUGCCUGUUUGAAUGUACUUUAAGAAUAAGGAUCGGCUAACUCCGUGCCAGCAGCCGCGGUAAUACGGAGGAUCCGAGCGUUAUCCGGAUUUAUUGGGUUUAAAGGGUGCGUAGGGGGGUUGUUAAGUCAGCUGUGAAAGUCUGCGGCUCAACCGUAAAAUUGCAAUUGAUACUGGCAGUCUUGAGUACAGUUGAGGUAGGCGGAAUGCGUGGUGUAGCGGUGAAAUGCUUAGAUAUCACGAAGAACUCCGAUUGCGAAGGCAGCUUACCAAACUGCCACUGACAUUGAGGCACGAAAGUGUGGGUAUCAAACAGGAUUAGAUACCCGGGUAGUC